GAUMUCGCUAGGGCMGCGGWUGUCCGUCUCUCGCUCUCCCGCAGAGUUUGACGAACUGCGAGCCUGCUGGUGUUAUGGGUUUUCCCACCCGUAUUGCGAGUGGCGCAUUGGACCGUCGCGGAUAGCCAGUCCAUCCAUCUAGGAAGUGCUGGCAUGUCUCCGUGGUCUUAAGUACAGGAUGCGCCGUCGUCCUCCUGUCCCUUUCGAUGCUGCUAGCCUCGUCGGUGAUCUCUCACCGCAGGGCAGGACCCGGCUCGUAUGUUAUCUUUACGUAUGGGCUUUGCGGACCUAGCCUUGCACUGCUCUCUGAAGGUGUGAGAUGGGCCACAUGGCGGUUUUCGAAUUUGGGGCUUGCGGUGCCCGCUGUGUCAUUAGCACCGGCGUAGUAUUCAUUUACCUAAUAUCCGACCUCAGAUCGGGCGAGAUUACCCGCUGAACUUAARCAAAA
This 448-nucleotide ribosomal RNA is filed under the name Biomphalaria pfeifferi. RNAcentral's name for it is "eukaryotic LSU rRNA". Lineage: Eukaryota; Metazoa; Mollusca; Gastropoda; Planorbidae. The record is from RNAcentral.